GACGAACGCUGGCGGCGUGCUUAACACAUGCAAGUCGAACGGAAAGGCCCCUUUGGGGGUACUCGAGUGGCGAACGGGUGAGUAACACGUGAGUAACCUGCCCUUGACUUCGGGAUAACUUCAGGAAACUGGGGCUAAUACCGGAUAGGAAUCCUUGCUGCAUGGUGGGGGUUGGAAAGCUUCGGCGGUUUUGGAUGGACUCGCGGCUUAUCAGCUUGUUGGUGGGGUAGUGGCUUACCAAGGCUUUGACGGGUAGCCGGCCUGAGAGGGCGACCGGCCACAUUGGGGCUGAGAUACGGCCCAGACUCCUACGGGGGGCAGCAGUGGGGAAUAUUGCACAAUGGGCGGAAGCCUGAUGCAGCAACGCCGCGGGCGGGAUGACGGCCUUCGGGUUGUAAACCGCUUUCAGCAGGGGCGAAGCUUGUGGUGACGGUACCUGCAGAAGAAGCACCGGCUAACUACGUG
Molecule: ribosomal RNA, 465 nt
Filed under: uncultured bacterium
Lineage: Bacteria
Description: partial 16S ribosomal RNA
Rfam family: Bacterial small subunit ribosomal RNA
Source: RNAcentral